UGAUCUCCUGGACAACAGACCAGUGGCGCCGAGACGAAGGGAGGUCCACGCAGAAGUUCAGGGGUGCAGCCGUAGAGAACGUGGGCAAAGAUAGACCGUCUCACGCCUCUGCCUCUCAGCUACCAUUGAACGAUGAGCUUCCCGGCCAAUGCACCAAAUGAUACCGGAGAAACUGACGGAAGCAAAGCACAGAGGGAUGGACACAGGUUUC
This 211-nucleotide long non-coding RNA is filed under the name Pelobates cultripes (western spadefoot toad). Lineage: Eukaryota; Metazoa; Chordata; Amphibia; Anura; Pelobatidae. The record is from RNAcentral.